GUAGGGGAUUCCGAAAACCUAUUAGAGUAGGAA
This 33-nucleotide non-coding RNA is filed under the name unclassified sequences. The record is from Rfam.